RNAcentral lists this transfer RNA (72 nucleotides) under Ceramaster japonicus. Its description in RNAcentral is "tRNA-Phe". It matches the Rfam family "tRNA". Rfam says of the family: Transfer RNA (tRNA) molecules are approximately 80 nucleotides in length. Their secondary structure includes four short double-helical elements and three loops (D, anti-codon, and T loops). Lineage: Eukaryota; Metazoa; Echinodermata; Asteroidea; Valvatida; Goniasteridae. The record is from RNAcentral.
GCAAAGAUAGCCUAACAGACAAGACACAGCACUGAAAACGCUUUAAUAAAGGUUUGAAUCCUUUUCUUAGCA